GACGAACGCUGGCGGCGUGCUUAACACAUGCAAGUCGAACGGAAAGGCCCUGCUUUUGUGGGGUGCUCGAGUGGCGAACGGGUGAGUAACACGUGAGUAACCUGCCCUUGACUUUGGGAUAACUUCAGGAAACUGGGGCUAAUACCGCAUAGGAGCUCCUGCUGCAUGGUGUUGGUUGGAAAGUUUCGGUUGCUGGGCUUGGACUCGCGGCUUCUCUGCUUGUUGGUGGGGUAGUGGCUUACCCAGGCGUUGACGGAUAGCCGGCUGGAGGGGGUGAUCGGCCACACUGGGACGGAGAGAGGGCCCAGGUGACUACGGGAGGCAGCAGUAGGGAAUCUGAGGGAAUGGACGGAAGUGUGACCGGGCAACGCCGCGUGAGUGAAGAAGGUGUUCGGAUAGUAAAGAGCUGUUGUAAGAGAAGAAAGAGUGUGAGAGUGGAAAGUUCACACUGUGACGGUAUCUUACCAGAAAGGGACGGCUAACUACGUG
Molecule: ribosomal RNA, 489 nt
Filed under: uncultured bacterium
Lineage: Bacteria
Description: partial 16S ribosomal RNA
Rfam family: Bacterial small subunit ribosomal RNA
Source: RNAcentral